RNAcentral lists this long non-coding RNA (1001 nucleotides) under Chloebia gouldiae (Gouldian finch). RNAcentral's name for it is "Erythrura gouldiae (Gouldian finch) lncRNA (ENSEGOG00005015063.1)". Lineage: Eukaryota; Metazoa; Chordata; Aves; Passeriformes; Passeridae. The record is from RNAcentral.
CCAUGACAGUAAUCUGUUCCGUUCAAGUUGGCGGAUUUUUGACACCUUCAUUAGCCACUCUUUCCAAUACUUAGUCCUGGGGUUUGUUCCUGUUUUUCUUUCGGCCUUAUAGCCAACUUUCCACCCCUUUUCUUCUCUAUGUCCAGUGUGUCUUUCGUGUUCCUUUCUUGUCCUGUGUUCUCCCUAUCCUGUUCCCUUUCACAACUUCACUCACUCUUGUUUUUCUUUUAUGAAAUAAAUAUUCAAUAUUUAUUUCAUAAAUAUUACUCAAUCCCUUUCCCUGCUCUGUCAUACUUUUUGUCUCUCUCUGUCUCGCUUCCUGCCUGCGUCUUUAUUUUUCCCUCUUUGUCUUGCACUAUGCCUGUAUUUCUUUGUCCCCCUUACUGUCCUUUUGCCUGUACCUGUCUGCACCUGCCCAACCCUUCUCCCUCAUUGUAUCCUUGUCUUGAUAAGCCUCUGCCCUGCUGGCCAUGUCUCUCUUUUUCCAUCCCUGUGCUGGGCCUUGCCUGCCUUCCCCACACCUGCACGUGCCAUGGUUGUUUCCUCUCUCAGUCCUCGUUUCUCUCUUUGUCUCUGUAUCCCUCUUGUCCUUGCUGUCUGUUCGGCACUCUUUUUCUCUGUCCUCCUCCAUGCCUCAUGUUCCUUUCUAUUCCCUGUGGCUCUGUGGUGCUCCCCGUGCCAUUGUUCCUCAUGGAACCUAUGUGUCCAGUUCGCUGUCCCUGUUCUUUUUUAAUCCCUCUCUGUCAUGCUACCCAUCCCAGGGAUUUUCUUUUUUUGUUGUUGUUGUUGUUGGUUUUUGGGUUUGUUUUUUUUUUUUUUUGGUCAAUUUUGUCCUGCACCCCGUACUUCCUUUUCUUCCUGUGUCACUCCCUCUUUCCGCCCCUGGCCUGUGAGAGCAAGGUUCGGGAAGAACUUCAGCCCUUCUGGGGGCUGCCCUCCUUUCUUGUUGCAGCAGAGUCCCUUUUGGGAGGAAUGGACAUCUGGAAAGUAAUUAAAGGAAG